Molecule: non-coding RNA, 380 nt
Filed under: Pongo abelii (Sumatran orangutan)
Lineage: Eukaryota; Metazoa; Chordata; Mammalia; Primates; Hominidae
Source: RNAcentral
AAUCCCCGUGGACUGAAUCAACAGCCAAUUUGGAUAUCAUCAAGGCACCUGAAACCUUAUCAUGAGCCUGAUGCCGAGGAAGAGAUUCUGGGAGGAUCCCCCAGUUGCAGCCAUGUUGAGACUGACGCUGAGGAGGACCCCAGCUGUCACGAGCAACACCCACCAAAUGCAGCCACCUACCUGGGGACAGAUCAAGAAGCUGUCACAGAUGGCAGAAGAAAACCUAAGACUGGAGAGGACGAACGCCCUGAGGUCCAAGAACAUGGAAACCUGACAGUGGACGCCAACAGCUGUGGAGAGAAGCCGGACGAGUUGCUCACGCUGCCGUGUGCCCAGCAAUCCUGCUUUAUCUUUUUAAAUAAAGGUAAUUCCUGAUAACA